CGCGCCCGCCGGGCAGCCGCCUCGACACUGUCGGGGAGGAAAGUCCGAACUCCACAGGGCAGGAUGCCGGAUAACAUCCGGGCGCCGCAAGGCGACGGAAAGUGCAACAGAAAAGACACCGCCUGCGGUAUUCAACCGCAGGUAAGGGUGAAAUGGUGCGGUAAGAGCGCACCGGCGGCCUGGAGACAGGCCGGCCUGGCAAACCCCAUCCGGAGCAAGACCAAGCAGGACGUCUUCGACAGACCGCGUGGCCCGCGCGGACCCGCAACCGCGGGAGACGUCCGGGUAGGUCGCUGGAAUGCCGCGGCAACGCGGCAUCAAGAGAAAUGGCUGCCUCGUCCCGCCAGGCGCGGGAUAGACAGAAUUCGGCUUAUAGGCGGACGCGGGCU
Molecule: RNase P RNA, 389 nt
Filed under: Bacteroidota bacterium
Lineage: Bacteria; Pseudomonadati; Bacteroidota
Description: RNase P RNA component class A
Rfam family: Bacterial RNase P class A
About the family: Ribonuclease P (RNase P) is a ubiquitous endoribonuclease, found in archaea, bacteria and eukarya as well as chloroplasts and mitochondria. Its best characterised activity is the generation of mature 5'-ends of tRNAs by cleaving the 5'-leader elements of precursor-tRNAs.
Source: RNAcentral